CGAGCGGUAGAGAGAAGCUUGCUUCUCUUGAGAGCGGCGGACGGGUGAGCAAUGCCUAGGAAUCUGCCUGGUAGUGGGGGAUAACGUUCGGAACCUGACGCUAAUACCGCAUACGUCCUACGGGAGAAAGCAGGGGACCUUCGGGCCUUGCGCUAUCAGAUGAGCCUAGGUCGGAUUAGCUAGUUGGUGAGGUAAUGGCUCACCAAGGCGACGAUCCGUAACUGGUCUGAGAGGAUGAUCAGUCACACUGGAACUGAGACACGGUCCAGACUCCUACGGGAGGCAGCAGUGGGGAAUAUUGGACAAUGGGCGAAAGCCUGAUCCAGCCAUGCCGCGUGUGUGAAGAAGGUCUUCGGAUUGUAAAGCACUUUAAGUUGGGAGGAAGGGUUGUAGAUUAAUACUCUGCAAUUUUGACGUUACCGACAGAAUAAGCACCGGCUAACUCUGUGCCAGCAGCCGCGGUAAUACAGAGGGUGCAAGCGUUAAUCGGAAUUACUGGGCGUAAAGCGCGCGUAGGUGGUUUGUUAAGUUGGAUGUGAAAUCCCCGGGCUCAACCUGGGAACUGCAUUCAAAACUGACUGACUAGAGUAUGGUAGAGGGUGGUGGAAUUUCCUGUGUAGCGGUGAAAUGCGUAGAUAUAGGAAGGAACACCAGUGGCGAAGGCGACCACCUGGACUAAUACUGACACUGAGGUGCGAAAGCGUGGGGAGCAAACAGGAUUAGAUACCCUGGUAGUCCACGCCGUAAACGAUGUCAACUAGCCGUUGGAAGCCUUGAGCUUUUAGU
RNAcentral lists this ribosomal RNA (786 nucleotides) under uncultured bacterium. Its description in RNAcentral is "bacterial SSU rRNA". It matches the Rfam family "Bacterial small subunit ribosomal RNA", at positions 63 to 844 of the family's 1533-position model. The record is from RNAcentral.